RNAcentral lists this ribosomal RNA (468 nucleotides) under uncultured organism. Its description in RNAcentral is "partial 16S ribosomal RNA". It matches the Rfam family "Bacterial small subunit ribosomal RNA", at positions 332 to 797 of the family's 1533-position model. The record is from RNAcentral.
UACACUCCUACGGGAGGCAGCAGUGAGGAAUAUUGGACAAUGGGUGGAAGCCUGAUCCAGCCAUCCCGCGUGCAGGAAGACGGCCCUAUGGGUUGUAAACUGCUUUUAUCUGGGGAUAAACCUACUUACGUGUAAGUAGCUGAAGGUACCAGAAGAAUAAGCACCGGCUAACUCCGUGCCAGCAGCCGCGGUAAUACGGAGGGUGCAAGCGUUAUCCGGAUUUAUUGGGUUUAAAGGGUCCGUAGGCGGACUGAUAAGUCAGUGGUGAAAUCCGACAGCUUAACUGUCGAACUGCCAUUGAUACUGUUAGUCUUGAGUAAGGUUGAAGUGGCUGGAAUAAGUAGUGUAGCGGUGAAAUGCAUAGAUAUUACUUAGAACACCAAUUGCGAAGGCAGGUCACUAAGUCUUAACUGACGCUGAUGGACGAAAGCGUGGGGAGCGAACAGGAUUAGAAACCCUAGUAGUCCC